ACAUGCAAGUCGAGGGGCAUCACAUGAAGCAGCAAUGCGGAUGGUGGCGACCGGCGCACGGGUGAGUAACACGUAUGCAACCUGCCUACAACAGGGGGAUAACCCGUUGAAAGACGGACUAAUACCCCAUAAUACAGGGGUCCCGCAUGGGAAUAUUUGUUAAAGAUUAAUCGGUUGUAGAUGGGCAUGCGUUCCAUUAGCUAGUUGGUGAGGUAACGGCCCACCAAGGCAACGAUGGAUAGGGGAACUGAGAGGUUUAUCCCCCACACUGGUACUGAGACACGGACCAGACUCCUACGGGAGGCAGCAGUGAGGAAUAUUGGUCAAUGGACGCAAGUCUGAACCAGCCACGUCGCGUGAAGGAAGACGGCCCUACGGGUUGUAAACUUCUUUUGUAAGG
Molecule: ribosomal RNA, 400 nt
Filed under: Proteiniphilum sp. enrichment culture clone G4
Lineage: Bacteria; Pseudomonadati; Bacteroidota; Bacteroidia; Bacteroidales; Dysgonomonadaceae
Description: bacterial SSU rRNA
Rfam family: Bacterial small subunit ribosomal RNA
Source: RNAcentral